AGAUUAGCCAUGCAUGUCUAAGUAUAAGCAAUUAUACCGUGAAACUGCGAAUGGCUCAUUAAAUCAGUUAUCGUUUAUUUGAUAGUACCUUACUACUUGGAUAACCGUGGUAAUUCUAGAGCUAAUACAUGCUAAAAACCCCAACUUCGGGAGGGGUGUAUUUAUUAGAUAAAAAACCAAUGCCCUUCGGGGCUCCUUGGUGAUUCACAAUAACUUCUCAGAUCGCAUGGCUUUACGCCGGCGACGGUUCAUUCAAAUUUCUGCCCUAUCAACUUUCGAUGGUAAGGUAGUGGCUUACCAUGGUUUCAACGGGUAACGGGGAAUUAGGGUUCGAUUCCGGAGAGGGGGCCGGAGGAACGGCCACCACAUCCAAGGAAGGCAGCAGGCGCGCAAAUUACACAAUUCCGAUACGGAGAUGUAGUGACAAUAAAUACUGAUACAGGGCUCUUUUGGGUCUUGUAAUUGGAAUGAGUACAAUUUAAAUCUCUUAACGAGGAACAAUUGGAGGGCAAGUCUGGUGCCAGCAGCCGCGGUAAUUCCAGCUCCAAUAGCGUAUAUUAAAGUUGUUGCAGUUAAAAAGCUCGUAGUUGAACCUUUGGCCUGGCUGGCAGGUCCGCCUCACCGCGUGCACUUGUCCGGCCGGGCCUUUUCUUCUGGAGAACCGCAUGCCCUUCACUGGGUGUGUUGGGGACCAGGACUUUUACUUUGAAAAAAUUAGAGUGUUCAAAGCAGGCCUUUGCUCGAAUACGUUAGCAUGGAAUAAUAGAAUAGGACGUGCGGUCCUAUUUUGUUGGUUUCUAGGACCGCCGUAAUGAUUAAUAGGGACAGUCGGGGGCAUCAGUAUUCAAUUGUCAGAGGUGAAAUUCUUGGAUUUAUUGAAGACUAACUACUGCGAAAGCAUUUGCCAAGGAUGUUUUCAUUAAUCAGUGAACGAAAGUUAGGGGAUCGAAGACGAUCAGAUACCGUCGUAGUCUUAACCAUAAACUAUGCCGACUAGGGAUCGGGCGGUGUUUCUAUUGUGACCCGCUCGGCACCUUACGAGAAAUCAAAGUGUUUGGGUUCUGGGGGGAGUAUGGUCGCAAGGCUGAAACUUAAAGAAAUGACGGAAGGCACCACCAGCGUU
This 1123-nucleotide ribosomal RNA is filed under the name Pseudocamarosporium tiliicola. Its description in RNAcentral is "SSU rRNA". It matches the Rfam family "Eukaryotic small subunit ribosomal RNA", at positions 41 to 1177 of the family's 1831-position model. The record is from RNAcentral. Lineage: Eukaryota; Fungi; Ascomycota; Dothideomycetes; Pleosporales; Didymosphaeriaceae.